Molecule: long non-coding RNA, 534 nt
Filed under: Hordeum vulgare
Lineage: Eukaryota; Viridiplantae; Streptophyta; Magnoliopsida; Poales; Poaceae
Description: long non-coding RNA (HVUL_LNC019213)
Source: RNAcentral
UUAGGUCAAAAAUAGCAUCAAACCUUGGUUAGCUCAUAAAUGCCAUAUACCUAGCUUAUGUUCCUCCUGAAUGACAUAAUGAGCUCAAAAUAAGACAAGUCUUGUAAUCAUCUUCUCCUUCAUCUUCUCCUUCAUCUUCUCCUUCUUCUUCUUGUCCUUCUUCUUCUUCUUCUUCUUCUUCUUCUUCUACUUCUUCUUCUCAUUCUCCUUCUUCUUCUUGUUCUCCUCCUCCUUCUUCUCCUCCUCCUCCUUUUUAUUCUUCUCCUUCUCCUUCUCCUUCUUCUUCUUUUUCUUCUUCUUCAUCUCCUUCGUCUUCUCCUUCUCCUUCUUCUUCUUCUUCUUCUCCUCCUCCUUCUUUUUAUCCUUCCCCUCCUUUUUAUUCUUCUUCUUCUCCUUCUUCCUUUUCUCCUUCUUCUUCUUCUUCUUCUUCUUCUUCUUCUUUUUCACCGUCUUCUUCUCCUUCUUCUUCUUCUUCUUCUCCUUCUUCUUCUUCUUCUUCUUCUUAGCUAGUAUACUCCAAAAUGACAUAAUUAG